GCCUGGAUUAUGCAGACCCUAAAAGGAAGAGUAAUUAUGUAGGGAAGAUUCUAUUGGCUGCUUCCCUCACAGCAUUGUGCAUUAUUUUGCUCAAACAAUCCCCAACAUUCAAUACCCCAAGCCCGUUUUCAUUGCAUGAAGAAGGGGUGACUCAUGUGCUUGUGACUGGUGGUGCUGGAUACAUUGGUUCACAUGCUGCGAUGCGGCUUCUGAAGGAUGGUUACAGAGUAACCAUAGUGGAUAACCUCUCACGGGGAAAUCUUGGUGCUGUCAAAGUUCUACAAGAAUUAUUUCCAGAACCUGGGAGGCUACAGUUCAUAUAUGCUGACUUGGGAGAUGCAAAAGCUGUUAACAAAAUAUUUUCAGAAAAUGCAUUUGAUGCUGUGAUGCACUUUGCUGCUGUUGCGUAUGUUGGGGAAAGCACCAUGGAUCCUCUUAAGUACUAUCACAACAUUACAUCAAAUACCUUGGUAGUCCUGGAGUCAAUGGCUGCACAUGAGGUGAAGACUUUGAUAUAUUCAAGUACAUGUGCAACAUAUGGGGAGCCUGAGAAGAUGCCCAUUACUGAAGACACUCCACAGGUCCCAAUUAAUCCAUAUGGAAAAGC
This 607-nucleotide unclassified non-coding RNA is filed under the name Hevea brasiliensis (rubber tree). The record is from RNAcentral. Lineage: Eukaryota; Viridiplantae; Streptophyta; Magnoliopsida; Malpighiales; Euphorbiaceae.